GGCUCCCUGGCGGAAUUGGUAGACGCAGGGGAUUCAAAAUCCCCCGCCUUCGGGUGUCCCGGUUCGAGUCCGGGGGGAGCCACCA
Molecule: transfer RNA, 85 nt
Filed under: Gammaproteobacteria bacterium
Lineage: Bacteria; Pseudomonadati; Pseudomonadota; Gammaproteobacteria
Also listed under: 2 other names
Description: tRNA-Leu
Rfam family: tRNA
About the family: Transfer RNA (tRNA) molecules are approximately 80 nucleotides in length.
Source: RNAcentral